Molecule: long non-coding RNA, 345 nt
Filed under: Oryza brachyantha (malo sina)
Lineage: Eukaryota; Viridiplantae; Streptophyta; Magnoliopsida; Poales; Poaceae
Description: long non-coding RNA (OBRA_LNC001053)
Source: RNAcentral
GGGGCUAGGUGUAUUAUCUCUGUGUCCGUCAUCUACUGGUAAAUUGAGAUAAUAUUUGUGUAUCAUGUGUAUUACAAACUGAUGAACUGAAGGAGAAACUAGUAGUACAGUUCAACUAUCUUUAUGGGGCAGCGUUCUCUGCUCAUUGGACGCUUGCUACCCACUCUGUAGCACAUAUUGUUCCAGUAACCUGUUACUGUUCUUCAACUAAAUAUGAUCAUGUCAUCAAACAAUCUCAUCUCUACUCUUCCACGACAGUUUUUGAUGGAUAUCUCGAAACGGGCUAUUGGACUACUUCGGGGUUACAGAAUGUCCACGAUACAUGGAGAGAAAAAAGACUGCAAU